AGUCGACGGUACAGGAAGCAGCUUGCUGCUUUGCUGACGAGUGGCGGACGGGUGAGUAAUGUCUGGGAAACUGCCUGAUGGAGGGGGAUAACUACUGGAAACGGUAGCUAAUACCGCAUAACGUCGCAAGACCAAAGAGGGGGACCUUCGGGCCUCUUGCCAUCGGAUGUGCCCAGAUGGGAUUAGCUAGUAGGUGGGGUAAAGGCUCACCUAGGCGACGAUCCCUAGCUGGUCUGAGAGGAUGACCAGCCACACUGGAACUGAGACACGGUCCAGACUCCUACGGGAGGCAGCAGUGGGGAAUAUUGCACAAUGGGCGCAAGCCUGAUGCAGCCAUGCCGCGUGUAUGAAGAAGGCCUUCGGGUUGUAAAGUACUUUCAGCGGGGAGGAAGGGAGUAAAGUUAAUACCUUUGCUCAUUGACGUUACCCGCAGAAGAAGCACCGGCUAACUCCGUGCCAGCAGCCGCGGUAAUACGGAGGGUGCAAGCGUUAAUCGGAAUUACUGGGCGUAAAGCGCACGCAGGCGGUUUGUUAAGUCAGAUGUGAAAUCCCCGGGCUCAACCUGGGAACUGCAUCUGAUACUGGCAAGCUUGAGUCUCGUAGAGGGGGGUAGAAUUCCAGGUGUAGCGGUGAAAUGCGUAGAGAUCUGGAGGAAUACCGGUGGCGAAGGCGGCCCCCUGGACGAAGACUGACGCUC
Molecule: ribosomal RNA, 697 nt
Filed under: Enterobacteriaceae bacterium HFH0060
Lineage: Bacteria; Pseudomonadati; Pseudomonadota; Gammaproteobacteria; Enterobacterales; Enterobacteriaceae
Also listed under: 1 other name
Description: bacterial SSU rRNA
Rfam family: Bacterial small subunit ribosomal RNA
Source: RNAcentral